ACACGACUACAUUAGAUACCCGGUAGUCCAGGGUGUAAACGAUACUCGCUAGGUGUCGGCCACGGUGCGACCGUUGUCGGUGCCGUAGGGAAGCCGUGAAGCGAGCCACCUGGGAAGUACGGCCGCAAGGCUGAAACUUAAAGGAAUCGGCGGGGGAGCACAACAACGGGUGGAGCUUGCGGUUUAAUUGGAUUCAACGCCGGAAAUCUUACCGGGACCGACAGCAACAUGAAGGCCAAGCUGAAGACUUUGCCGGAUUAGCUG
This 264-nucleotide ribosomal RNA is filed under the name uncultured archaeon. Its description in RNAcentral is "partial 16S ribosomal RNA". It matches the Rfam family "Archaeal small subunit ribosomal RNA", at positions 717 to 982 of the family's 1478-position model. The record is from RNAcentral.